Molecule: transfer RNA, 71 nt
Filed under: Loxodonta africana (African savanna elephant)
Lineage: Eukaryota; Metazoa; Chordata; Mammalia; Proboscidea; Elephantidae
Rfam family: tRNA
About the family: Transfer RNA (tRNA) molecules are approximately 80 nucleotides in length.
Source: Rfam by way of RNAcentral
GCAUCGAUGGUUUAGUGGUAGAAUUCUUGCCUUCCACGUGAAAGACCUGGGUUCGAUUCCAGGCCAGUGCA